This is a non-coding RNA of Pelobates cultripes (western spadefoot toad), 129 nucleotides long. The record is from the annotation of a GenBank genome assembly. NCBI's taxonomy places the organism in Eukaryota, Metazoa, Chordata, Amphibia, Anura, Pelobatidae.
UCCAGCGCACUCACCUAUCCACUAAACCGCAACUUCAAAAAUAAUGCCUAGAUUAGGUGUUUUUUAAAAAAACUAAUAAAAUCUGUCAACAUUGAAGUUGCUGUUUAGUGGAUAGGUGAGUGCGCUGGA